Episyrphus balteatus (marmalade hoverfly) is the source of this 423-nucleotide long non-coding RNA. RefSeq lists it as uncharacterized. NCBI's taxonomy places the organism in Eukaryota, Metazoa, Arthropoda, Insecta, Diptera, Syrphidae. The transcript has 2 exons. The record is from RefSeq and is a predicted model, not a curated record.
AAAAUUAUUAUCUAUUUACCUGCUAGCAUUUCGAGAUCUAGGACGUGCAAAUCUUAAAUUUAACUGAGAUGGAUCUGUGACAUAUUUUUCAGUUUGGCGACGUCUUCUUAGUCCUGCAUUUCCAGAGGAAAAAAUGGGCAAGCACUGGGAUUGGUAAAAGAACGAGUAUUAUUAAUAUUUGUUCGUCAUUUGGUUUUCAAGUGAUCUCACACAGUUUUGAAAAUUGUAUGUAUUGAAUAAUAUUGUUGAAGGAAUAAUUGGAAAAAAGUGGAAGCAUAAAACAAAUUAAAUAAAAGAACUGUAAAAGUGAGUGUUUUUUUUUAAUUUUUGGUUUAAGAAAUUAUGUAUGCUCAUGAUUGUAUUUUUGGUAAAAAAAAAAAAAAAUAAAUAACGAAGUAAAAUCCCAAUUUUCAAGUUAAUGUA